GACAGAGGUCUCGAGCGUUAGGCGGAAUCACUGGGCUUAAAGCGUGUGUAGGCGGACUUGUAAGUACCUUGUGAAAUCCCACGGCUCAACCGUGGAAGUGCACUCGAAACUGCAUAGCUAGAGUCCUGGAGAGGAAGGUGGAAUGCUUGGUGUAGAGGUGAAAUUCGUAGAUAUCAAGCGGAACACCGGUGGCGAAGGCGGCCUUCUGGACAGUGACUGACGCUGAGACGCGAAAGCGUGGGGAGCAAACAGG
Molecule: ribosomal RNA, 253 nt
Filed under: uncultured bacterium
Lineage: Bacteria
Description: partial 16S ribosomal RNA
Rfam family: Bacterial small subunit ribosomal RNA
Source: RNAcentral